UGGCAAGGCCUAUACUGCAGUUUGUCUCACCUCUUUGAGGAGCUGGCUGGGCUGACUUAAAGAGCCCUUGUCUGAUUCUGCAGCUGUUGACUCCUAUACUGUGUUAGGGGUGGGGAUGUCAUUGAGAUCUUGUCGUCUGAGGAAGGCCAGAGAGCUUUUCCCUCAGAUUGGGAGGAACCAAGGUGAGGUGCCAAGGGUCUUUCCUCCUCUAAGCUGGAGCAGCAAGUAUUUCCUCUUCUUCUGUAUCUUUAUCAGGUAACCAUCUCACAGCUCAAGGCUGCUAGCCAUGUCUACUCAUUUCUAUUGGGUUCAGUGGGACUUACUUCCAGUUUUAGACAAUGAGUGAAGUCAGAGCUGUGACCGAAUCAGCCAGAAAUCAAAAGCUGCUGCUGUUUUCUUCUUUCUGGCUAGCAUCUAUCUCCUUCCCAUCUCCGUUUGAAAUCAGGUACCCCUUCUGAGGGGAACAACGAUUGGGUAACGCUAGCUGGCUGUCAGGAAGCACACUUGUUAAGUCUUGCCUGAGUGUGUGAAGGGCCUUCACGGAAAAGAUCGUGUCUGAGAUGGUGUGAAAAUUCUGCCUGUGAAGUUUGCUAUGUGACCUGUUGCAUAUGUGUAAAUGACCACUUGGCGUAACUCUCAUUAGCCUCAUUCACUCAACACCAUAGAACUCCUUUCUACCUCAUGGAUGGAGCCAAUUGAAUUGCUAUUUCCCACCUGAUUAGACCAGCACUGGGAGUAAAGACUCACUUGAUUGGCUCCAGUCAGGUGAUUGUAAUAUUCACACAUGCACACUCUCUAGCAGUAUCAGAUUAUACCAUGGCGAAGGGCUUGCAUGCCACUGUAUGUAUUUGUGAAUAAAAUAGGGUUGCCUUUUCUCUAUUAAAACAGGAGUGGGAAAGCUUUUUUA
Long non-coding RNA from Rhineura floridana, 907 nucleotides. RefSeq lists it as uncharacterized. The record is from RefSeq and is a predicted model, not a curated record. NCBI's taxonomy places the organism in Eukaryota, Metazoa, Chordata, Lepidosauria, Squamata, Rhineuridae. The transcript has 4 exons.